AUGCCCACUGAUUAUAAAAAGACGCGUUAUUCUGAGGAAUUCAACCAGCUACCAGUCUUUCUUCUGUCUUUUACUCCAUCUUUGAUCUCCUCCAUCUUUCCUGUCCUCCUCUAUUCCCUCUCCUCUCCUCUCCUCUCCUCUUUAAACUGGUGGCUGGUCCGCUGACUGCGAUUAUGAGAUAUGAGGGCAU
RNAcentral lists this small nucleolar RNA (190 nucleotides) under Seriola dumerili (greater amberjack). RNAcentral describes it as "Small nucleolar RNA SNORD97 (ENSSDUG00000004739.1)". It matches the Rfam family "Small nucleolar RNA SNORD97". Lineage: Eukaryota; Metazoa; Chordata; Actinopteri; Carangiformes; Carangidae. The record is from RNAcentral.